AUGCAUGUCUAAGUCCAAGCUGUGUUUACACGGCGAGACCGCGGACGGCUCAUUAAAUCAGUCGUGGUCCAAAUGGGCCAGUCCUUUUUACUUGGAUAACUGUGGUAAUUCCAGAGCUAAUACAUGCAACUCAUACCCUGAUGGGAGUUCCCUCUUGCGCUUGUCGCUUGAGGUGCAUCGACCUGAAGGGUGCUUUUAUUAGACCAAACCGCUGGGGGCUGUCACAGUUCACUUGUGUUCCGUGGCAGCUUGACUCGCUUUAUGGUGACUCUGGAUAACCAUUUCUGACAAGCGCACGUACCCCUCUCCGAGUGGGACGGCGCUGCCACUUUCGAGUGUCUGCCUUAUCAGCUGUCAACCGCUCGCUACACGCGACCGAUGGCUUUGACGGGUAACGGGGAAUCAGGGUUCGAUUCCGGAGAGGCAGCCUGAGAGACGGCUACCACGUCCAAGGACGGCAGCAGGCACGCAAAUUACCCAAUCCCAGCAUCUGGGGGAGGUAGUGACGAAAUCUAACGAUGCGGACGCCCUUUCCGGGCUCCGCAAUCGGAAUGAGCGCUUUCUAAACAACCCGUUGAGAACCUACUGAAGGGCAAGUCUGGUGCCAGCAGCCGCGGUAAUUCCAGCUUCAGUAGCAUCUAUUAAAGUUGCUGCGGUUAAAAGGCUCGCAGUUGAAUGUCAGUGCCGGGCGUUGGAUAGGUGGACGUUGGGGCGUGGGAUCAAGUCGCAGUUGCUGCUUCUCUUCACUUCACGGGUGUUGGGGACACUCUCGGCUCCCACAUGCUCCCGUCCGUA
RNAcentral lists this ribosomal RNA (795 nucleotides) under Monocorophium sextonae. RNAcentral describes it as "bacterial SSU rRNA". It matches the Rfam family "Eukaryotic small subunit ribosomal RNA", at positions 51 to 731 of the family's 1831-position model. The record is from RNAcentral. Lineage: Eukaryota; Metazoa; Arthropoda; Malacostraca; Amphipoda; Corophiidae.